This 101-nucleotide non-coding RNA is filed under the name uncultured Ruminiclostridium sp. RNAcentral describes it as "SAM riboswitch (S box leader)". It matches the Rfam family "SAM riboswitch aptamer (S box leader)". Rfam says of the family: The SAM riboswitch is found upstream of a number of genes which code for proteins involved in methionine or cysteine biosynthesis in Gram-positive bacteria. The SAM riboswitch acts at the level of transcription termination control. Lineage: Bacteria; Bacillati; Bacillota; Clostridia; Eubacteriales; Oscillospiraceae. The record is from RNAcentral.
CCUUAUCAAGAGCAGUGGAGGAACAGGUCCUGUGAAGCUGCGGCAACCCUUCGCUCAGCGAAAAUGGUGCCAAUUCCUGCGCCGAAAGGCGAAAGAUGAGG